CCCGUCCGGCUGUUUCAAUGACUCAUACGGACGGGAACAAGGCAGGUGUCACUGGGCCAAAUCUGGGGAGAUGGAAUGCUACCUCUCCCUCCCAGCUGGGUUGCGUAAGGAAAGAGGCUUGUGCAACCGGCUUACAGAAACUUCCACUGUGGCCCUGGCUUCCCUGCUCUCGGCCAUAGUCUAUGGUGUUUGGUUUCCCGUCUUCACCCCACUGCCUUGGUGUCUAGAAGAAGAGGACAGACACAACGCAGGGAGACGCUGACAGGCAACCGUGAACCUCUGCAUUGGCAAAAAGGGGCAGCUCCAUUGCAAGUCACCCAUCUAUCCCACCCUGGAUGGCUUCAGCUGGCAGAGAGAACGGAUCUCUACACCACCAACUGUGAAGAUGCCAGUCCAGUUGGUAUCAAGUACCAACAAGCAUAAGAAACACUGCCUCAACUUAAGUCUACAUUUGAAUAUUAACUUCUGGCAUUAGUCCACCGGGCUCCAGAAUGUUGGCUAACUUGCCAGAUGUAAAGUACAAGGAGAAGCCUGGCUAUUUGAUGCUAUUUCUUAUCUAUGUAGGCCCCUAUCAUCCAAGUGCUAGUAUAUUAGCAUAUUUGCAAAAAAUCACUACCCAAUAGGAGAGCUUCUGUCUCAAUAGAUGGCAUCUGUGCAAUUUGAUAUUACUUUUUCCCUCCACACAUGAUAGAACUGUGCCUUGUUUAAUACGUUUUUGGGUUAAGAUAUUUAUUAGACUGAGAAAUGGCUAUUAAUAAGUGGCUAAGGGAAGUGUCCUCAAGUCUGACUUGUGGCUGUUGUCACACCUUUCCUGUUGAACAAAUGUGUCACAGUAGACAGUGGGUAAACGUUCCCUUUGUAAGUUACACAGGAUGUGAUGUUAAUAAUUAAUUUGUCUUUGUGGAUUAGCACUCAUAGUCUUUACAGACUGGUCCGGGUGGAACCUCACUCCACUCCUGUGAGGUAGCUAAUCCUGUCAUAUGCUUCGCACUUCCCAGCUAUCGGUUUCAAUGACCUCUACGAGAUAAGUGUGAAGCGGCAGAUGGUUCACAGUACUCAGUAACGUCCUAUGACAGUUUAGAAGAGGAAACCACGGAGGGACUUUCAUGGGGGCAAUGGAGGACUGCGGGAACUUUCCAGGAAAGUCAAGAGGAAAAAAGAAUGCCACUGCUGCCCACCAACAAUUUGGUGAGGAACCCGGGAGAAAAACGGAAAGAGAUUCUAAGGCUGUCAGUGGCGCAGUAUUUUCCAAGUGGUUUAAUCUGUGGCAUUGCUAAAAGCAGAAUGGAACCUGAAAACCCAGUAUAAUUUUAAGGGCUGAGCAAGAAGGACCACAUCAGCAGCUCUAUAACCUCGCAUAAGACUUGUGCAUCAUAACAUAGAUGUGUCUAGGGCAUCCAACAAUCUGGUCAAAUAUUUCUCAGGAGAACUGACCCACCUAGACCAUCCCAAAAAAGAGACCUCCUAGGACCACUCUCCUCUAGACUAUACACCUUUAGAGGUGCCAAAUGCUGGAGCUGAAUGGUUUCUGGAGCAACGGGAAGCAUAUAAUUAAUAUCAAUACUUUCCAGAGGCUUAAAAAAAUGUCCAGUGUCAACAUCUUUUACAAAAGUGAUUUUCAAACUGUGCUCAUGUUUUUCAUAGCCUGGUACCUUUUGAGAUGGUACAGUUGGAAAAUCAAUAAAACAUGAGCUGGGAGAUGCCAGGGUGGCUUGAGAGCUUUGUAGGAAGCACGGAGGAGUGCAAGGCAGAGCACACAAUACUUAGGCUGGAAGUAUGCGAACCUUUAGAGGUGCGUAUUUUUAGAGCUCCCUCAUGAAGCUCUAGUCCAACACAGUUUCACUGAUGGACAAAGUUAUCAGCUGGGGUCUUUGGGGUUUCAAGACAAGACAAACUAUUCUAUCCUCACGGUUUCCCCCCUUCUGACUUAAUUAACUAAAAUGUAAAUGAAAAUGGCCAGUUCAACAAGAACAUCGGAGUACAAUUUGCAGGAGAACCCUUCAUUGCCUUUCAAUCGAGUACAAUUCCCAGAAAUCUCAGGUUCAGGAGUCUGUGCUUCUGAUUCCCUGUAGAAAUUCUUUAUAUUUAGUCUACUUAUCUACCUGCAAGAUGUUUCUGUUCAAACACACACCAUAUACAUGUACUAUGCAUUUCCGUGUAACAGAAAUAUAUUAUUUCCGUGUUUGUUA
Molecule: long non-coding RNA, 2189 nt
Organism: Mesocricetus auratus (golden hamster)
Lineage: Eukaryota; Metazoa; Chordata; Mammalia; Rodentia; Cricetidae
Exons: 2
Source: RefSeq, a predicted model, not a curated record